This 337-nucleotide ribosomal RNA is filed under the name uncultured soil bacterium. RNAcentral describes it as "bacterial SSU rRNA". It matches the Rfam family "Bacterial small subunit ribosomal RNA", at positions 26 to 375 of the family's 1533-position model. The record is from RNAcentral.
AGAUUGAACGCUGGCGGCAUGCCUAACACAUGCAAGUCGAACGGGAGUAGCAAUACUCUAGUGGCGGACGGGUGAGGAAUACGUAGGAAUUUGCCCUUAAGUGGGGGAUAACCCGGGGAAACCCGGAUUAAUACCGCAUGACCUCGAAAGAGCAAAGUGGGGGAUCGCAAGACCUCACGCUUUUGGAGAAGCCUACGUCGGAUUAGCUAGUUGGUGAGGUAAUGGCUCACCAAGGCGACGAUCCGUAACUGGUCUGAGAGGAUGAUCAGUCACACCGGAACUGAGACACGGUCCGGACUCCUACGGGAGGCAGCAGUGGGGAAUAUUGGACAAUGGG